This 1371-nucleotide ribosomal RNA is filed under the name uncultured bacterium. RNAcentral describes it as "bacterial SSU rRNA". It matches the Rfam family "Bacterial small subunit ribosomal RNA", at positions 28 to 1381 of the family's 1533-position model. The record is from RNAcentral.
GAUGAACGCUGGCGGCGUGCCUAAUACAUGCAAGUCGAGCGAACGGACGAGAAGCUUGCUUCUCUGAUGUUAGCGGCGGACGGGUGAGUAACACGUGGAUAACCUACCUAUAAGACUGGGAUAACUUCGGGAAACCGGAGCUAAUACCGGAUAAUAUUUUGAACCGCAUGGUUCAAAAGUGAAAGACGGUCUUGCUGUCACUUAUAGAUGGAUCCGCGCUGCAUUAGCUAGUUGGUAAGGUAACGGCUUACCAAGGCAACGAUGCAUAGCCGACCUGAGAGGGUGAUCGGCCACACUGGAACUGAGACACGGUCCAGACUCCUACGGGAGGCAGCAGUAGGGAAUCUUCCGCAAUGGGCGAAAGCCUGACGGAGCAACGCCGCGUGAGUGAUGAAGGUCUUCGGAUCGUAAAACUCUGUUAUUAGGGAAGAACAUAUGUGUAAGUAACUGUGCACAUCUUGACGGUACCUAAUCAGAAAGCCACGGCUAACUACGUGCCAGCAGCCGCGGUAAUACGUAGGUGGCAAGCGUUAUCCGGAUUUAUUGGGCGUAAAGCGCGCGUAGGCGGUUUCUUAGUCUGAUGUGAAAGCCCACGGCUCAACCGUGGAGGGUCAUUGGAAACUGGAAAACUUGAGUGCAGAAGAGGAAAGUGGAAUUCCAUGUGUAGCGGUGAAAUGCGCAGAGAUAUGGAGGAACACCAGUGGCGAAGGCGACUUUCUGGUCUGUAACUGACGCUGAUGUGCGAAAGCGUGGGGAUCAAACAGGAUUAGAUACCCUGGUAGUCCACGCCGUAAACGAUGAGUGCUAAGUGUUAGGGGGUUUCCGCCCCUUAGUGCUGCAGCUAACGCAUUAAGCACUCCGCCUGGGGAGUACGACCGCAAGGUUGAAACUCAAAGGAAUUGACGGGGACCCGCACAAGCGGUGGAGCAUGUGGUUUAAUUCGAAGCAACGCGAAGAACCUUACCAAAUCUUGACAUCCUUUGACAACUCUAGAGAUAGAGCCUUCCCCUUCGGGGGACAAAGUGACAGGUGGUGCAUGGUUGUCGUCAGCUCGUGUCGUGAGAUGUUGGGUUAAGUCCCGCAACGAGCGCAACCCUUAAGCUUAGUUGCCAUCAUUAAGUUGGGCACUCUAAGUUGACUGCCGGUGACAAACCGGAGGAAGGUGGGGAUGACGUCAAAUCAUCAUGCCCCUUAUGAUUUGGGCUACACACGUGCUACAAUGGACAAUACAAAGGGCAGCGAAACCGCGAGGUCAAGCAAAUCCCAUAAAGUUGUUCUCAGUUCGGAUUGUAGUCUGCAACUCGACUACAUGAAGCUGGAAUCGCUAGUAAUCGUAGAUCAGCAUGCUACGGUGAAUACGUUCUCGGGUCU